UACGAAGGGGGCUAGCGUUGCUCGGAAUCACUGGGCGUAAAGGGUGCGUAGGCGGGUCUUUAAGUCAGGGGUGAAAUCCUGGAGCUCAACUCCAGAACUGCCUUUGAUACUGAAGAUCUUGAGUUCGGGAGAGGUGAGUGGAACUGCGAGUGUAGAGGUGAAAUUCGUAGAUAUUCGCAAGAACACCAGUGGCGAAGGCGGCUCACUGGCCCGAUACUGACGCUGAGGCGCGAAAGCGUGGGGAGCAAACGGG
Molecule: ribosomal RNA, 253 nt
Filed under: uncultured bacterium
Lineage: Bacteria
Description: partial 16S ribosomal RNA
Rfam family: Bacterial small subunit ribosomal RNA
Source: RNAcentral